This is a non-coding RNA of Acanthosepion pharaonis, 112 nucleotides long. The record is from the annotation of a GenBank genome assembly. Lineage: Eukaryota; Metazoa; Mollusca; Cephalopoda; Sepiida; Sepiidae.
UAUGGCCAUAUAACAUUGAAAUACUGGUUCCUGUAUGAUCAGUGAAGUUAAGCAACAUUAGGCCUGGUCAGUACCUAGUUAUGUGCCCACUUGGAAAUACCAGGUGCUGCAA